Molecule: antisense RNA, 75 nt
Filed under: Streptomyces zhaozhouensis
Lineage: Bacteria; Bacillati; Actinomycetota; Actinomycetes; Kitasatosporales; Streptomycetaceae
Description: ASpks TB sRNA
Rfam family: ASpks TB sRNA
Source: Rfam by way of RNAcentral
CUUCAACGAGCCCAGCCACAACGGCUCGUCGCCGGAACGCCGCCGCCCGUAGGUGGCGAGCAGCGCCUGCGCCUC